ACCUAUCUAGUGCAACUAACCCCUAUUUCUGUAGGGAAAUUAGAGAGAGAACAGGUGUGUAAUCUGAUUUUGCUGCAUGACCAGCAUAAGCCCAGGAUCUUGUGGCUCUGGGCAGCCACCUUCAGUACUCCAGGCCCAGGCUUUCGGGCCUAGCCUGGAGGAAAGUUUGCAGCCUGAUUCAAGCUCUAAGAUCUCAGAGUUUGAAUCUGUGGAACAACUGUCAGCUGCUGGGGGAGCUUCCCAGGCAGUGAGUAUGGAGGAGUCCCCAGCUGGAUCCCACAGACAUUGUGGUGCAGUGGAAGCCCAGGCAGGUGAGAAGAACAUGGAGCCCCAGGCCCUGCAACCUGCCUGGCAGAAGUCAGAGGGGAGAAGCAAGGGGAGCACAAAGCCUGAAGCUGGAGGUGACGGUGCAGAAGUGAGGAGGAGUGAGAGGACAGAGACAAAGAGGUGCAGCUGAUCUGACCCCUGGGGCAGCUGAGGAGAAGGAGAAAACUCGCACUUUAAGACCUGGUGCAAAAACUGAACGGUGCCUGCUUGCUAUCCAAGAUGUUUGCAUGUAUCUCCCCUUUGCUGAGGGUUUGGAGCAAGAGCACCCGGACCCAUUAUGGAAAGCGGGGAAGGAAAGAAGUUGCUGCACAAACAGAAUGGAGUACAUUUUGCACUUUGUUUGUUAUAAACUCCCUGUGAGUCUCGGCUAUGAAGAGCGAGGGAGCUUAGGAACAGACGUCGGACCAAUUAAGUCCAGAGAUCUGACUUGUUCCCAACUUGCCGGGGGAACUUCUGUUGGGUAUUUGAAUAAGGAAUGAAAGUGUGAGGGUGAUGCUAUCUCCUCUCUCUCCUCUCGCAUGAACAUGCUCCAAUUAAAAGUGAAAGAAGAAGAGGCGCCGCACUAACGAGGCUGAAUAUUCAACUUCUCCCAUCAGCGUAAUGUCAUGCAAAUUACAGAGGGAGAUGGUGCAGAUUGGUUGGUCCCAGCUGGGAGUGAAACCUCAGCUCUCGUAUCUCCCUCGAUCUCUCACACUUCUGCAUCCUAUUAUGCUAAUGGCAUCUUUGGAAUAUUGAACUUUCAGAUCAGUAUUUGCACAUCUCAAUAAUCAUUCUCUGUCUGUAAGAACAAUGGAGCCAUUAGCCUGCAGCCAAAUUGUGCAAAGCUGAAGAGGGACACAAUGACAAUGAUAUCAACAGGAACCCACCAAACGCAUGGCUCGAUCACCUGGCCACAGAAAUGUGAUAAUAAAAGGAAUUUCUAUUUAAAUAAU
Molecule: long non-coding RNA, 1259 nt
Organism: Xenopus laevis (African clawed frog)
Lineage: Eukaryota; Metazoa; Chordata; Amphibia; Anura; Pipidae
Exons: 3
Source: RefSeq, a predicted model, not a curated record